CGCGCCCAAACACUCUUGGAACCACCUGGGAGGGGACACAGGGACGGUGCUGCAGCCUCCUGUGUGCCCGCUCGGCCUUCAAAGCUCAGCGGAAGGUGAAGUCUCUGCCAUGGAGGUUAUAGCGCUCCUCCCUCAACAGUCACAUGGUGACAGCAUGAGAAAAUGUCACCCUGCGAAGCUGAGUCAAUAGGCUCGUGAAGAAA
Herpailurus yagouaroundi (jaguarundi) is the source of this 203-nucleotide long non-coding RNA. RefSeq lists it as uncharacterized. NCBI's taxonomy places the organism in Eukaryota, Metazoa, Chordata, Mammalia, Carnivora, Felidae. The record is from RefSeq and is a predicted model, not a curated record. The transcript has 2 exons.